ACGGGUGAGUAACGCGUGGGAACAUACCCUUUUCUACGGAAUAGCUCUGGGAAACUGGAAUUAAUACCGUAUACGCCCUACGGGGAAAGAUUUAUCGGGGAAGGAUUGGCCCGCGUUGGAUUAGCUAGUUGGUGGGGUAAAGGCCUACCAAGGCGACGAUCCAUAGCUGGUCUGAGAGGAUGAUCAGCCACAUUGGGACUGAGACACGGCCCAAACUCCUACGGGAGGCAGCAGUGGGGAAUAUUGGACAAUGGGCGCAAGCCUGAUCCAGCCAUGCCGCGUGAGUGAUGAAGGCCUUAGGGUUGUAAAGCUCUUUCACCGAUGAAGAUAAUGACGGUAGUCGGAGAAGAAGCCCCGGCUAACUUCGUGCCAGCAGCCGCGGUAAUACGAAGGGGGCUAGCGUUGUUCGGAAUUACUGGGCGUAAAGCGCACGUAGGCGGAUAUUUAAGUCAGGGGUGAAAUCCCAGAGCUCAACUCUGGAACUGCCUUUGAUACUGGGUAUCUUGAGUAUGGAAGAGGUAAGUGGAAUUGCGAGUGUAGAGGUGAAAUUCGUAGA
This 556-nucleotide ribosomal RNA is filed under the name uncultured bacterium. RNAcentral's name for it is "bacterial SSU rRNA". It matches the Rfam family "Bacterial small subunit ribosomal RNA", at positions 102 to 694 of the family's 1533-position model. The record is from RNAcentral.